Molecule: ribosomal RNA, 431 nt
Filed under: uncultured bacterium
Lineage: Bacteria
Description: bacterial SSU rRNA
Rfam family: Bacterial small subunit ribosomal RNA
Source: RNAcentral
UGGGGAAUAUUGCGCAAUGGGCGAAAGCCUGACGCAGCGACGCCGCGUGAGCGAUGAAGGCCUUCGGGUCGUAAAGCUCUGUCAGAGGGGACGAAACAUAGGCGGGAAUAAUACCCUGUCUAUUUUACGGGACCUUCAGAGGAAGCACCGGCUAACUCCGUGCCAGCAGCCGCGGUAAUACGGAGGGGGCUAGCGUUGUUCGGAAUUACUGGGCGUAAAGCGCUCGUAGGCGGUCUGUGAAGUCUGGUGUGAAAUCCCCCGGCUUAACUGGGGAAGUGCGCUGGAAACCAGCAGACUAGAGGACGGUAGGGGAUCGUGGAAUUCCUGGUGUAGCAGUGGAAUGCGCAGAUAUCAGGAGGAACACCAAUGGCGAAGGCAGGUCUCUGGGCCACUACUGACACUGAGGAGCGAAAGCGUGGGGAGCAAACAGG